This 528-nucleotide ribosomal RNA is filed under the name uncultured bacterium. Its description in RNAcentral is "bacterial SSU rRNA". It matches the Rfam family "Bacterial small subunit ribosomal RNA", at positions 981 to 1509 of the family's 1533-position model. The record is from RNAcentral.
CGUACAUCCAGAGAACUUAGCAGAGAUGCUUUGGUGCCUUCGGGAACUCUGAGACAGGUGCUGCAUGGCUGUCGUCAGCUCGUGUUGUGAAAUGUUGGGUUAAGUCCCGCAACGAGCGCAACCCUUAUCCUUUGUUGCCAGCGGCUCGGCCGGGAACUCAAAGGAGACUGCCGGUGAUAAACCGGAGGAAGGUGGGGAUGACGUCAAGUCAUCAUGGCCCUUACGGCCAGGGCUACACACGUGCUACAAUGGCGCAUACAAAGAGAAGCGACCUCGCGAGAGCAAGCGGACCUCAUAAAGUGCGUCGUAGUCCGGAUUGGAGUCUGCAACUCGACUCCAUGAAGUCGGAAUCGCUAGUAAUCGUAGAUCAGAAUGCUACGGUGAAUACGUUCCCGGGCCUUGUACACACCGCCCGUCACACCAUGGGAGUGGGUUGCAAAAGAAGUAGGUAGCUUAACCUUCGGGAGGGCGCUUACCACUUUGUGAUUCAUGACUGGGGUGAAGUCGUAACAAGGUAAGCGUACGUGU